GACAGAGGGUGCAAACGUUGUUCGGAAUUACUGGGCGUAAAGCGCGUGUAGGCUGCUUGGAAAGUCGGAUGUGAAAGCCCUGGGCUCAACCUAGGAAGUGCAUUCGAAACUUCUGAGCUGGAGUGCUGGAGAGGAAGGCGGAAUUCUCGGUGUAGAGGUGAAAUUCGUAGAUAUCGAGAGGAACACCGGUGGCGAAGGCGGCCUUCUGGACAGUAACUGACGCUGAGACGCGAAAGCGUGGGGAGCAAACAGG
Molecule: ribosomal RNA, 253 nt
Filed under: uncultured bacterium
Lineage: Bacteria
Description: partial 16S ribosomal RNA
Rfam family: Bacterial small subunit ribosomal RNA
Source: RNAcentral